CCUACGGGUGGCAGCAGUGAGGAAUAUUGGUCAAUGGCCGUAAGGCUGAACCAGCCAAGUAGCGUGAGGGAAGACUGCCCUAUGGGUUGUAAACCUCUUUUAUGCGGGGAUAAAGGUGUCCACGUGUGGAUGUUUGUAGGUACCGCAUGAGUAAGGACCGGCUAAUUCCGUGCCAGCAGCCGCGGUAAUACGGACGGUCCGGGCGUUAUCCGGAUUUAGUGGGGUUAAGGGGAGCGUAUGCCGGUCUUUAAGCGUGCCGUGAAAUUUUGUGGCUCAACCAUGGGAGUGCGGGGCGAACUGGAGACCUGGAGUGCGCGGAAGGCAGGCGGAAUUCGUGGUGUAGCGGUGAAAUGCUUAGAUAUCACGAAGAACCCCGAUUGCGAAGGCAGCCUGCCGCAGCGUUACUGACGCUGAUGCUCGAAAGUGUGGGUAUCAAACAGGAUUAGAUACCCUGGUAGUC
RNAcentral lists this ribosomal RNA (460 nucleotides) under uncultured bacterium. RNAcentral describes it as "partial 16S ribosomal RNA". It matches the Rfam family "Bacterial small subunit ribosomal RNA", at positions 338 to 795 of the family's 1533-position model. The record is from RNAcentral.